UCAGUUAUUGUUUCAUUUGCGUCUGUUCCUGAAAUGCUUCAUACUCGAAUGGGAUUCUAUGGUUGCAGAUGCAGGGAACCGCUGCUCUCACCUCAUAUUUACAUGGCUUACUUUUGGACUAGCGCUAUUAGGAACACUAGAUCUACCAAGCUGAUGCGUAUAUGGACCCUUUCAUUUGAGUCGUAGGAAUCUUAGGAUUCACAACUGGUGGGUAUACUUUAUUUUGGUGGGAAGGCUGGCCCUGUCUGGAGGUCUCAUAAUCCACCUAAUUUUGGGGGUCGGCUGCGCCCCUGCCUUCGUCUUCAGGGAGGAAAUGCAGAUUCGCUACCCUCGUAUUGCGAACCAUGGACGGGGCCUUCCGCCAAAGAAAUUUAUAAUUGUGCUUGCUGAGCUGUCAAUAAAUGUAUGCUUCGUACAUCA
Molecule: long non-coding RNA, 420 nt
Organism: Carassius gibelio (silver crucian carp)
Lineage: Eukaryota; Metazoa; Chordata; Actinopteri; Cypriniformes; Cyprinidae
Exons: 2
Source: RefSeq, a predicted model, not a curated record